CGGGGUGUAGCGCAGCCUGGUUAGCGCACUUGGUUUGGGACCAAGGGGCCGAAGGUUCGAAUCCUUUCACCCCGACCA
Molecule: transfer RNA, 78 nt
Filed under: Campylobacterales bacterium
Lineage: Bacteria; Pseudomonadati; Campylobacterota; Epsilonproteobacteria; Campylobacterales
Also listed under: 2 other names
Description: tRNA-Pro
Rfam family: tRNA
About the family: Transfer RNA (tRNA) molecules are approximately 80 nucleotides in length. Their secondary structure includes four short double-helical elements and three loops (D, anti-codon, and T loops).
Source: RNAcentral